UCUCAGACCAGAGGAGGAAUGUGCUCAGA
Molecule: non-coding RNA, 29 nt
Filed under: Mus musculus (house mouse)
Lineage: Eukaryota; Metazoa; Chordata; Mammalia; Rodentia; Muridae
Also listed under: 1 other name
Source: RNAcentral